RNAcentral lists this ribosomal RNA (448 nucleotides) under uncultured bacterium. RNAcentral's name for it is "SSU rRNA". It matches the Rfam family "Bacterial small subunit ribosomal RNA", at positions 26 to 518 of the family's 1533-position model. The record is from RNAcentral.
AGAGCGAACGCUGGCGGCAGGCCUAACACAUGCAAGUCGAGCGGCCGUAGCAAUACGGCAGCGGCAGACGGGAGAGUAACACGUGGGAACGUACCCUUUGGUUCGGAACAACACAGGGAAACUUGUGCUAAUACCGGAUAAGCCCUUACGGGGAAAGAUUUAUCGCCAAAGGAUCGGCCCGCGUCUGAUUAGCUAGUUGGUGGGGUAACAGCCCACCAAGGCGACGAUCAGUAGCUGGUCUGAGAGGAUGAUCAGCCUCACUGGGACUGAGACACGGCCCAGACUCCUACGGGAGGCAGCAGUGGGGAAUAUUGGACAAUGGGCGCAAGCCUGAUCCAGCCAUGCCGCGUGGAUGAUGAAGGCCCUAGGGUUGUAAAGUCCUUUCGGCGGGGAAGAUAAUGACGGUACCCGCAGAAGAAGCCCCGGCUAACUUCGUGCCAGCAGCCGC